GUCCACGCUGUAAACGAUGCGUGCUAGACGUUGGGUGGUCACCAUUCGAUGUCGCAGUUAACACGUUAAGCACGCCGCCUGGGGAGUACGGCCGCAAGGUUAAACUCAAAGGAAUUGACGGGGCCCGCACAAGCGGUGGAGCAUGUGGUUUAAUUCGAUGCAACGCGAAGAACCUUACCUGCCCUUGACAUGGGAAGUAUGAUCCUCAGAGAUGGGGGUCUUCAGUUCGGCUGGCUUCCACACAGGUGCUGCAUGGCUGUCGU
RNAcentral lists this ribosomal RNA (263 nucleotides) under uncultured bacterium. RNAcentral's name for it is "partial 16S ribosomal RNA". It matches the Rfam family "Bacterial small subunit ribosomal RNA", at positions 793 to 1055 of the family's 1533-position model. The record is from RNAcentral.